This 468-nucleotide ribosomal RNA is filed under the name uncultured bacterium. RNAcentral describes it as "partial 16S ribosomal RNA". It matches the Rfam family "Bacterial small subunit ribosomal RNA", at positions 28 to 507 of the family's 1533-position model. The record is from RNAcentral.
GACGAACGCUGGCGGCGUGCUUAACACAUGCAAGUCGAACGGAAAGGCCCUGCUUUUGUGGGGUGCUCGAGUGGCGCACGGGUGAGUAACACGUGAGUAACCUGCCCUUGACUUUGGGAUAACUUCAGGAAACUGGGGCUAAUACCGGAUAGGAGCUCCUGCUGCGUGGGGGGGGUUGGAAAGUUUCGGCGGUUUGGGCUGGUUUCGCGGCUUAUGCGCUUGUUGGUGGGGUAGGGGCUUACCAAGGCUUUGACGGGUAGCCGGCCUGGGAGGUGGACCGGCCACAUUGGUCCUGCGGUACGCACCAGACUCCUACGGGCGGCAGUAGUGGGGAAUAUUGCGCAAUGGGCGGAAGCCUGAUGCAGCAACGCCGCGUGCGGGAUGACGUCCUUCGGGUUGUAAACCGCUUUCGCCUGUGACGAAGCGUGAGUGACGGUAAUGGGUAAAGAAGCACCGGCUAACUACGUG